This 253-nucleotide ribosomal RNA is filed under the name uncultured bacterium. RNAcentral's name for it is "partial 16S ribosomal RNA". It matches the Rfam family "Bacterial small subunit ribosomal RNA", at positions 524 to 776 of the family's 1533-position model. The record is from RNAcentral.
UACGGGGGGAGCAAGCGUUGUUCGGAUUUACUGGGCGUAAAGGGCGCGUAGGCGGCCUUCUAAGUCGGACGUGAAAUCCCUCGGCUUAACCGAGGAACUGCGUCCGAUACUGAAAGGCUUGAAUCCGGGAGAGGGAUGUGGAAUUCCAGGUGUAGCGGUGAAAUGCGUAGAUAUCUGGAGGAACACCGGUGGCGAAGGCGGCAUCCUGGACCGGUAUUGACGCUGAGGCGCGAAAGCUAGGGGAGCAAACGGG